GAUGAACGCUGGCGGCGUGCUUAAUACAUGCAAGUCGGGCGGGCAGACGAGGAUCUUGCUCCGGUGACGUGAGCGACGCGCGGGUGAGUGACCCGUGGAUGACCUACCUAGAAGACUGGGGUAGCUUCUGGACAGCGGACUGAAGAGCGGAUAAAAGGAUGAACCGCAGGGGGCAACAGUGAAUGACUGUUUUGCUGGCGAGGAUAGAUGGAUCCGCGGCGCGUUAGCGAGUUGGUAAGGUAACGGCUUACCAAGGCAAUGAUGCGUAGCCGACCUGAGCGGGUGUUAGGCGCCACUGGAACUGAGACACGGUCCAGACUCCUACGGGAGGACGCAGUAGGGACUCUUCCGCAAUGGGCGAAAGCAUGACGGAGCAACGCGGGGUGAGUGAAGAAGGUCUUCGGAUCGUAAAACUGUGUUAUUAGGGAAGGACAACUGUGUAAGUCAGUAUGCACGUAUUGACGGUACCUAAUCAGAAAGCCACGGCUAACUACGUG
This 497-nucleotide ribosomal RNA is filed under the name uncultured bacterium. RNAcentral's name for it is "partial 16S ribosomal RNA". It matches the Rfam family "Bacterial small subunit ribosomal RNA", at positions 28 to 507 of the family's 1533-position model. The record is from RNAcentral.